AGUGAACGCUGGCGAUAGGCCUAACACAUGCAAGUCGAACGGCAGCACAGUAAGAGCUUGCUCUUACGGGUGGCGAGUGGCGGACGGGUGAGGAAUUCAUCGGAAUCUACUUUUUCGUGGGGGAUAACGUAGGGAAACUUACGCUAAUACCGCAUACGACCUACGGGUGAAAGCAGGGGAUCUUCGGACCUUGCGCGAUUGAAUGAGCCGAUGUCGGAUUAGCUAGUUGGCGGGGUAAAGGCCCACCAAGGCGACGAUCCGUAGCUGGUCUGAGAGGAUGAUCAGCCACACUGGAACUGAGACACGGUCCAGACUCCUACGGGAGGCAGCAGUGGGGAAUAUUGGACAAUGGGCGCAAGCCUGAUCCAGCCAUACCGCGUGGGUGAAGAAGGCCUUCGGGUUGUAAAGCCCUUUUGUUGGGAAAGAAAAGCAGCAGGUUAAUACCCCGCUGUUCUGACGGUACCCAAAGAAUAAGCACCGGCUAACUUCGUG
This 492-nucleotide ribosomal RNA is filed under the name uncultured bacterium. RNAcentral's name for it is "partial 16S ribosomal RNA". It matches the Rfam family "Bacterial small subunit ribosomal RNA", at positions 29 to 507 of the family's 1533-position model. The record is from RNAcentral.